Molecule: transfer RNA, 73 nt
Filed under: Candidatus Woesearchaeota archaeon
Lineage: Archaea; Nanobdellati; Candidatus Woesearchaeota
Description: tRNA-Gln
Rfam family: tRNA
About the family: Transfer RNA (tRNA) molecules are approximately 80 nucleotides in length. Their secondary structure includes four short double-helical elements and three loops (D, anti-codon, and T loops).
Source: RNAcentral
AGCCCCGUAGUGUAGUGGCCAAUCAUUUCGGCCUUUGGAGCCGAAGACCCAGGUUCGAAUCCUGGCGGGGCUA